AACGAACGCUGGCGGCAUGCCUAACACAUGCGAGUCGAACGAGACCUUCGGGUCUAGUGGCGCAUGGGUGUGUAACGCGUGGGAAUCUGCCCUUGGGUUCGGAAUAACAGUGAGAAAUUACUGCUAAUACCGGAUGAUGUCUUCGGACCAAAGAUUUAUCGCCCAGGGAUGAGCCCGCGUAGGAUUAGAUAGUUGGUGGGGUAAUGGCCUACCAAGGCGACGAUCCUUAGCUGGUCUGAGAGGAUGAUCAGCCACACUGGGACUGAGACACGGCCCAGACUCCUACGGGAGGGAGCAGUGGGGAAUAUUGGACAGUGGGCGCAAGCCUGAUGCAGCAAUGCCGCGUGAGUGAUGAAGGCCUUAGAGUUGUAAAGCUCUUUUACCCGGGAUGAUAAUGACGGUACCGGGAGAAUAAGCUCCGGCUAACUCCGUG
RNAcentral lists this ribosomal RNA (433 nucleotides) under uncultured bacterium. Its description in RNAcentral is "partial 16S ribosomal RNA". It matches the Rfam family "Bacterial small subunit ribosomal RNA", at positions 29 to 507 of the family's 1533-position model. The record is from RNAcentral.